RNAcentral lists this ribosomal RNA (253 nucleotides) under uncultured bacterium. Its description in RNAcentral is "partial 16S ribosomal RNA". It matches the Rfam family "Bacterial small subunit ribosomal RNA", at positions 524 to 776 of the family's 1533-position model. The record is from RNAcentral.
AACGUAGGUACCGAGCGUUAUCCGGAUUUACUGGGCGUAAAGCGUGUUCAGGCGGUCUGGCAAGUCGGGCAUGAAAUCUCUGGGCUCAACCCGGAGGGGUUGUCCGAUACUGCUGGGCUGGAGGGCAGCAGAGGGUGGUGGAAUUCCGGGUGUAGUGGUGAAAUGCGUAGAUAUCCGGAGGAACACCAGUGGCGAAGGCGACCACCUGGGCUGUACCUGACGCUAACACACGAAAGCUAGGCGAGCGAACGGG